AUCUAUGAUCAUUUCUCCUGAGUAUGCCUGAUCUCAUUUGAUCUUUGAAGGUAAGCAGGGUGGGUAUAAGUUAGUAGUUGGACUGGAGACAUCCUAAGAAUACUGGAUGCUGUAGGCU
Molecule: ribosomal RNA, 118 nt
Filed under: Monodelphis domestica (gray short-tailed opossum)
Lineage: Eukaryota; Metazoa; Chordata; Mammalia; Didelphimorphia; Didelphidae
Source: RNAcentral